GGGGCGGUAGCUCAGCUGGUUAGAGCACGGAACUCAUAAUUCCUUGGUCACGGGUUCGAGUCCCGUCCGCCCUA
RNAcentral lists this transfer RNA (74 nucleotides) under Kribbella solani. It matches the Rfam family "tRNA". Rfam says of the family: Transfer RNA (tRNA) molecules are approximately 80 nucleotides in length. Lineage: Bacteria; Bacillati; Actinomycetota; Actinomycetes; Propionibacteriales; Kribbellaceae. The record is from Rfam by way of RNAcentral.